This 465-nucleotide ribosomal RNA is filed under the name uncultured bacterium. Its description in RNAcentral is "bacterial SSU rRNA". It matches the Rfam family "Bacterial small subunit ribosomal RNA", at positions 339 to 796 of the family's 1533-position model. The record is from RNAcentral.
CUACGGGAGGCAGCAGUGGGGAAUUUUGGACAAUGGGGGCAACCCUGAUCCAGCCAUGCCGCGUGCGGGGAGAAGGCCUUCGGGUUGUAAACCGCUUUUAGCCGGGAAGAAAAGGCGCAGGCUAAUACCCUGCGUUCUUGACGGUACCGGCGGAAUAAGCACCGGCUAACUACGUGCCAGCAGCCGCGGUAAUACGUAGGGUGCGAGCGUUAAUCGGAAUUACUGGGCGUAAAGCGUGCGCAGGCGGUUCGUUAAGUCAGAUGUGAAAGCCCCGGGCUCAACCUGGGAACGGCAUUUGAAACUGGCGGGCUGGAGUGUGGCAGAGGGGGGUGGAAUUCCGCGUGUAGCAGUGAAAUGCGCAGAGAUGCGGAGGAACACCGAUGGCGAAGGCAGCCCCCUGGGCCAAUACUGACGCUCAUGCACGAAAGCGUGGGGAGCAAACAGGAUUAGAAACCCCAGUAGUCC